This 164-nucleotide unclassified non-coding RNA is filed under the name soil metagenome. Its description in RNAcentral is "partial internal transcribed spacer 1". The record is from RNAcentral.
CACAAGUAUGAAGGCGGGCUGGAACCUCUCGGGGUUACAGCCUUGCUGAAUUAUUCACCCUUGUCUUUUGCGUACUUCUUGUUUCCUUGGUGGGUUCGCCCACCACUAGGACAAACAUAAACCUUUUGUAAUUGCAAUCAGCGUCAGUAACAAAUUAAUAAUUA